RNAcentral lists this ribosomal RNA (124 nucleotides) under Fusarium sp. Its description in RNAcentral is "partial large subunit ribosomal RNA". The record is from RNAcentral. Lineage: Eukaryota; Fungi; Ascomycota; Sordariomycetes; Hypocreales; Nectriaceae.
CGGCAACAGCUCAAAUUUGAAAUCUGGCUCUCGGGCCCGAGUUGUAAUUUGUAGAGGAUACUUUUGAUGCGGUGCCUUCCGAGUUCCCUGGAACGGAGCGUCAUAGAGGGUGAGAAUCCCGUCU